AACCCUAAGCGGGGGAUCACUUGGCUUGUGGGUCGAUGAAGAACGCAGCAAACUGCGUGUUGACAUGUGAACUGCAGGACACAUGAACAUUGACAUUUUGAACGCAUAUUGCGGUCCAUACUGAUUUGUUUCUGUAAAAAGAAGCUGUAUGGACCACACAUGGUUGAGGGUCG
RNAcentral lists this ribosomal RNA (173 nucleotides) under Vigna radiata var. radiata (mung bean). RNAcentral's name for it is "rRNA 5_8S_rRNA". It matches the Rfam family "5.8S ribosomal RNA". Rfam says of the family: 5.8S ribosomal RNA (5.8S rRNA) is a component of the large subunit of the eukaryotic ribosome. It is transcribed by RNA polymerase I as part of the 45S precursor that also contains 18S and 28S rRNA. The record is from RNAcentral. RNAcentral also lists the same sequence under 2 other names. Lineage: Eukaryota; Viridiplantae; Streptophyta; Magnoliopsida; Fabales; Fabaceae.